Molecule: transfer RNA, 77 nt
Filed under: Candidatus Altimarinota bacterium
Lineage: Bacteria; Candidatus Altimarinota
Description: tRNA-Pro
Rfam family: tRNA
About the family: Transfer RNA (tRNA) molecules are approximately 80 nucleotides in length. Their secondary structure includes four short double-helical elements and three loops (D, anti-codon, and T loops). Further hydrogen bonds mediate the characteristic L-shaped molecular structure. tRNAs have two regions of fundamental functional importance: the anti-codon, which is responsible for specific mRNA codon recognition, and the 3' end, to which the tRNAs corresponding amino acid is attached (by aminoacyl-tRNA synthetases). tRNAs cope with the degeneracy of the genetic code in two manners: having more than one tRNA (with a specific anti-codon) for a particular amino acid; and 'wobble' base-pairing, i.e. permitting non-standard base-pairing at the 3rd anti-codon position.
Source: RNAcentral
CGGAGACUGGCGCAAUUGGCUAGCGCACGCGCUUUGGGAGCGCGGGGCUGUGGGUUCGAGUCCCUCGUCUCCGACCA